This 429-nucleotide ribosomal RNA is filed under the name uncultured bacterium. Its description in RNAcentral is "bacterial SSU rRNA". It matches the Rfam family "Bacterial small subunit ribosomal RNA", at positions 355 to 776 of the family's 1533-position model. RNAcentral also lists the same sequence under 2 other names. The record is from RNAcentral.
UGGGGAAUAUUGGACAAUGGGCGAAAGCCUGAUCCAGCCAUGCCGCGUGUGUGAAGAAGGUCUUCGGAUUGUAAAGCACUUUAAGUUGGGAGGAAGGGCUGCUGGUUAAUACCCUGCAGUUUUGACGUUACCAACAGAAUAAGCACCGGCUAACUUCGUGCCAGCAGCCGCGGUAAUACGAAGGGUGCAAGCGUUAAUCGGAAUUACUGGGCGUAAAGCGCGCGUAGGUGGUUGGGUAAGUUGAAUGUGAAAGCCCCGGGCUCAACCUGGGAACUGCAUCCAAAACUGCCCGACUAGAGUACGGUAGAGGGUGGUGGAAUUUCCUGUGUAGCGGUGAAAUGCGUAGAUAUAGGAAGGAACACCAGUGGCGAAGGCGACCACCUGGACUGAUACUGACACUGAGGUGCGAAAGCGUGGGGAGCAAACAGG